This is a non-coding RNA of Danio rerio (zebrafish), 557 nucleotides long. Lineage: Eukaryota; Metazoa; Chordata; Actinopteri; Cypriniformes; Danionidae. The record is from RefSeq and is a predicted model, not a curated record.
UCUUUCAGUACCUCCAUGAGCCCGUCGCUUUGACAAACACAAACAGAGUUGUUUUCUACAGAGUACCUCUAUGAGCCCGUCACUUUGACAAACACAGAGUUGUCUUUUACAGAGCACCUCCAUAAGCCAGUCGCUUUGACAAACACAGAGUUUUCUUCUACAGAGUACCUCCAUGAGCCAGUCACUUUGUCAAACACAAACAGAGCUGUCUUCUACAGAGUACCUUCAUGAGUCCGUUACUUUGACAAACACAAACAGAGUUGUCUUCUACAGAGUACCCCAAUGAGCUAAAUGCUUCGACAAACACAGAGUUGUCUUCUACAGAGUAUCUCAAUGAGCUCGUCACGUUGACAAACACAAACAGAGCUGUCUUCUACAGAGUACCCCAAUGAGCUAAAUGCUUCGACAAACACAGAGUUGUCUUCUACAGAGCACCUCCAUAAGCCAGUUGCUUUGACAAACACAAACAGAGCUGUCUUCUACAGAGGAAAUAACAGGUGAAUCUGGACAGAAAUCCAGGAAACCAGACAGUGAUGGUGGUGAUCGCUCUAGCACCG